Molecule: microRNA, 21 nt
Filed under: Gyrodactylus salaris (gyrodactylosis fluke)
Lineage: Eukaryota; Metazoa; Platyhelminthes; Monogenea; Gyrodactylidea; Gyrodactylidae
Description: gsa-miR-71c-5p
Gene: gsa-miR-71c-5p
Source: miRBase by way of RNAcentral
GAAGGACAGGAAUAAUGAGAA